AUCUAAUACACUUAAGAUGAGCUUCGACAGUGAUCCUGGAUUGACAGGUGAUUAUUUCUGUUGGGAUCUUUGAGGGAACAGAUGAACUUCAAGAUUUGGUUGACGCUUCUGUCCGUGACUGCACUUUCUUAUGGCAGUAAAGACGCUCAAUGCAGCUUCCGGGGAUCGUUCCGAGGCGGGCAGUGUUUCUGCGAAUCCCCUUAUUUCGGGGUGAAGUGUGAAAUACGAGUAGAUCCGGCUUCAAAUGGCGACGAAGAAGAAGAAGGAACAGGCUGCAGAGAGCAUCCUGGUGCGCCGUGUGCAGCGGCAGAGGCUCCUGCAUUUUCGGGCAAUGCGAAUGCAAUCCGAGGGACGAUGCAGCCGAGGUGAUCUCCGGUAUGUUUUGCGAAUGCACUAACUUUCUGUGCAGCCGAGUCAACGGCCUCCUGUGCGGAGGUCCAAGCCACGGGGAAUGCGUCUGCGAUAAGUGCCUUUGCCAACCUGGGUGGUCUGGAGAGAGCUGCACCUGUGACGUUUCUCAUGACGACUGCGUGAAUCCAGAUACUGAUGAGAUCUGUUCAAACAACGGGAACUGCCAGUGUAACGAAUGCGUUUGUGAAGGCCAGUACUCAGGACAAUGGUGUGAGGACUGCCCAACUUGUGUUGGACGCUGCCAAGAUUUCAGUGCUUGUGUAUACUGCCAGACAUUUGGAGGGCUUCAUUGCCCAUUGAACCAUGACGACUACGCCAAAAAAUGUCAUCUCGAAACAGAAAUAGUGGACAGUCUUGGAGAAUUGGGCGAGGACCAGAGGCUGUGCCGGUUUCUCGAUGGGCAAGACUGCGCAUACACCUUUUCGUACAGCACCAAGGGACGCCAGAAAAUCCGAUCUGUCAGGCAGCUGGAAUGUCCAAAGCGUCCUGGAGGUUGAAUCUGUCGCCGAAGGACAGUACCAGUGCGGAGAAGGACUGGAGUUUACUGUGUCCUCAUGGAUGCCGAGUGACGUCACUCCAGGAAAAAAAUAUCGGUGGACGUUUAAGACCUACGAGAACAAGACGAUGGGUAUUUUGUGCCCAACCAUUGAAAUUCCCGAGAAUCCGAACUGCAGACGUGAUAUGCUGAUCGUAUCCAGCCCGACCGAGCAUCAAACCGCAAAAA
Molecule: long non-coding RNA, 1135 nt
Organism: Macrobrachium nipponense
Lineage: Eukaryota; Metazoa; Arthropoda; Malacostraca; Decapoda; Palaemonidae
Exons: 9
Source: RefSeq, a predicted model, not a curated record